CCUACGGGUGGCAGCAGUGAGGAAUAUUGGUCAAUGGACGCAAGUCUGAACCAGCCAUGCCGCGUGCAGGAAGACGGCUCUAUGAGUUGUAAACUGCUUUUGUACGAGGGUAAGCGCAGAUACGCGUAUCUGUCUGAAAGUAUCGUACGAAUAAGGAUCGGCUAACUCCGUCCCAGCAGCCGCGGUAAUACGGAGGAUUCAAGCGUUAUCCGGAUUUAUUGGGUUUAAAGGGUGCGUAGGCGGUCGGAUAAGUUAGAGGUGAAAGCCCGAGGCUCAACUUCGGAAUUGCCCCUGAUACUGUUCGGCUAGAGAGUAGUUGCGGUAGGCGGAAUGUAUGGUGUAGCGGUGAAAUGCUUAGAGAGCAUACAGAACACCGAUUGCGAAGGCAGCUUACCAAGCUACUUCUGACGUUGAGGCACGAAAGCGUGGGGAGCAAACAGGAUUAGAUACCCCUGUAGUC
This 460-nucleotide ribosomal RNA is filed under the name uncultured bacterium. RNAcentral describes it as "partial 16S ribosomal RNA". It matches the Rfam family "Bacterial small subunit ribosomal RNA", at positions 338 to 795 of the family's 1533-position model. The record is from RNAcentral.